AGCAGUAGCCACGGGAAUACGGAGGGCGCGAGCGUUACCCGGAUUUACUGGGCGUAAAGGGCGUGUAGGCGGCCUGGGCGUCCCAUGUGAAAGGCCACGGCUCAACCGUGGAGGAGCGUGGGAUACGCUCAGGCUAGAGGGUGGGAGAGGGUGGUGGAAUUCCCGGAGUAGCGGUGAAAUGCGCAGAUACCGGGAGGAACGCCGAUGGCGAAGGCAGCCACCUGGUCCACUUCUGACGCUGAGGCGCGAAAGCGUGGGGAGCAAACCGGAUUAGAUACCCCCGUAGUCCCUGUCUCUUAUACA
RNAcentral lists this ribosomal RNA (303 nucleotides) under uncultured bacterium. RNAcentral describes it as "partial 16S ribosomal RNA". It matches the Rfam family "Bacterial small subunit ribosomal RNA", at positions 507 to 808 of the family's 1533-position model. The record is from RNAcentral.